RNAcentral lists this long non-coding RNA (2079 nucleotides) under Homo sapiens (human). Its description in RNAcentral is "HSALNT0026145". The stretch from base 1128 to 1228 matches the Rfam family "Small nucleolar RNA U13". The record is from RNAcentral. Lineage: Eukaryota; Metazoa; Chordata; Mammalia; Primates; Hominidae.
CCUACCGCCUACAGCCCCGUUCUCUUGUUCUCUCUGCUCUUGUAUGUUUACAGCUUUCUAAUUCCUUCAUGGCUGUUUAGUGGAGCCUGAAGGGUGGGGCCUCGUGUGGCCCGUCUGCCCUCCUUCAGGCUGUGCCGCACUGGUGCGUUUGGUGUGUGCUUGGUGAGAGUCUUUGGGUCCUGCUCGGAGGAGGCAGGAGCGUGAACGGCGCUCCCAGGGCCAACCAACGGUCUGUGGUCAUCAGCAGGCCUGGAGCUGCCUGUGCAGGGUGGAGGGGGCUGUUCUGGUCUUGGCCUCACCUCCUCUGCCACAGCUGCAAGUUUAAGUGCCUAACCCAUCAGGGUCAAACCCAGGGGAGUGCUUCCGCUGGCAAGAAGGCCCACACAGAGAGGCGAGCCCUGACUUCCGCUGUGCGCCCAGCACUGUGACCCAGAAGGCCGGCCCCAGCGUUGGUCCUCGCGGGACGCUUGUGUGGACCCCGGUGAGGAGCAAAGGUGAACAUGCUUGUCGUGGUGCAGCACACAGUGACCUGCGGCUGAUUCCAGCUUCAGCUUGUUCUCUGUAGACCAGAAAAAGGCAGCUGUGAGCAGCGUGCGGGGAGAAUGGUCCCAGGGGCUCGGCCUCCCACCUGCCUGUCUCAGGACCCCAGGGCGCUCCGGACCCCAGGAGGAAUGUGCUGCUCAUUCUUGAAAUUCACUUCCCCGGAAGACAUGGCAACCAUGAACACUGGAUCAGAGGUGGGGAAGCUGCCUGGCUUCCACUGGGCCCCACCCAUCCACCCAUCUUGGCCUCCUCAUUCUCUCUGUCCAUGGGUGGUGACAAGCUUUGCCUUGACCUGAGCCCAUGUACCUAGGUUUGCACCUUCUCUGGAGUGAAAGAGGAGAUGAGUUAUUUUAAUCUUGAAGAUCCCAGGUCAGAACAUCAGUUUUCUAGUCCAAGCGCUGCCUCACUGUCUUCAUUUAUAAAAUGAGAGAGGGGAUGCACUGUUCCCCAAAUCUGAGACCCAGGGUGUACACGAUUGGAGCCAAGUCUCACAGCUGGGGAGGAGUGGCUCUGGCACUUGAGUUCAGUUUCUCUGGCUCCAAAUCUGUAGGGAGUGGGGGUCUCCCUUAGAUAAGUAGGUUAAGAUCCUUUUGUGAUUCAUAAGCGUGAUGAUUGGGUUUUCAUGCUCAUGUGUGAGAUAUGCCUCUCUCAAGCCUUGUUACAACAUCACAUUACCUGUCUGAUGUUACAAAAAAAAAAAAAAAAAAAGAGAAGAGAAGAAUAACAAGAACAACCACAGAAAGCCCCUCAUCAUCUCUCUGGGGCGUGCAGUGGGGCCGUUUCCACGGGGGCGGGCCUCAGAGCCCUCUGACUGAUUCUUCUGGAGCACAGAGCCCCACCAUGCUGAUGUUCCGUGCGCUGGUCUGGGAUGGUUCCCGCGCUCACAGCCUGGUGUGGUCAGCAGCAGGGUUUCAUUCAGGUCUCUCCUUCCUGACCACACUGAGAGACCUGCAGGCAGAGGCUGACCUGAGUCACCUUUAGGGUCCCCAGUUCUUACAGGGGAUGUCUGCUCACUUAGGAGACGGCCCUGUCCCCAAGCACCCCCUAUGCCCUCCAGAACGGAGAAGACACGCAAUUCUUCAUUUGGGUUAUGUGAAAUGUUGGCCCCUCACUGUGAUACGGAAGGGAAACAGGGAGGCACUGGGUAGAAGACCGAGGUUCCCUGGCAAAGGCCUCACCCUCAAGCCUGAAGACCUGAGGACCUAAAUGAGGACAGGCAUUUCUGUUUUUGCACCUAAAAAGUUGCCUUCUGGUCUGCUAUGCCCCAUAUCCUGUCCCCGUAUAAACCCAAGGGCACACAUGCAAGUGGCUGAACAUCAGGACCAGCAGACCAGUGAAGGCAGAACAACAAGGCAGAGAAAGAGAAAAGCGGAGGGACACCUGGAGGCUGAGGGGAGUUCAGCCAGAGGUGGCUAGAGAAAAGUCCAGCACUGGACAGCCCGGUUCCAGGGGAAGACCUCCUUCCCCUCCAUCACCUCCUUCCAGCUCCCCAUCCAUCUCGCUGAGAGCCACCUCCUCCACUCAAUAAAACCUUGC